CCUGAGAUGUGAUGAUGACCGCAUUGGCGGGAAGUGGGUGAUCCUAUGCUGUCGAGAAAAGCAUCUAGCGAGGUUCGAGCCGCCCGUACCCUAAACCGACUCAGGUGGUCAGGUAGAGAAUACUAAGGCGAUCGAGUGAAUCGUGGUUAAGGAACUCGGCAAAAUGCCCCCGUAACUUCGGGAGAAGGGGGGCCUGAGGCGUGACGGCACUUGCUGCUGUGAGCGUUUGAGGGCCGCAGAGACCAGGGAGAAGCGACUGUUUACUAAAAACACAGUCCGUGCGAAGUCGCAAGACGAUGUAUACGGACUGACGCCUGCCCGGUGCUGGAACGUUAAGGGGACCGGUUAGACCUUCGGGUCGAGGCUGAGAACUUAAGCGCCAGUAAACGGCGGUGGUAACUAUAACCAUCCUAAGGUAGCGAAAUUCCUUGUCGGGUAAGUUCCGACCUGCACGAAUGGCGUAACGACUUCUCCGCUGUCUCAACCGCGAACUCGGCGAAAUUGCAUUACGAGUAAAGAUGCUCGUUACGCGCAGCAGGACGGAAAGACCCCGGGACCUUUACUAUAGCUUGGUAUUGGUGUUCGGUACGGCUUGUGUAGGAUAGGUGGGAGACGGUGAAGCUGGCACGCUAGUGUUGGUGGAGUCAAUCUUGAAAUACCACUCUGGUCGUUCUGGAUGUCUAACCUCGGUCCGUGAUCCGGAUCAGGGACAGUGCCUGGUGGGUAGUUUAACUGGGGCGGUUGCCUCCUAAAGAGUAACGGAGGCGCCCAAAGGUUCCCUCAGCCUGGUUGGCAAUCAGGUGUCGAGUGUAAGUGCACAAGGGAGCUUGACUGUGAGACCGACAGGUCGAGCAGGGACGAAAGUCGGGACUAGUGAUCCGGCAGUGGCUUGUGGAAGCGCUGUCGCUCAACGGAUAAAAGGUACCCCGGGGAUAACAGGCUGAUCUUGCCCAAGAGUCCAUAUCGACGGCAUGGUUUGGCACCUCGAUGUCGGCUCGUCGCAUCCUGGGGCUGGAGUAGGUCCCAAGGGUUGGGCUGUUCGCCCAUUAAAGCGGUACGCGAGCUGGGUUUAGAACGUCGUGAGACAGUUCGGUCCCUAUCCGCUGCGCGCGUUGGAAACUUGAGAAGGGCUGUCCCUAGUACGAGAGGACCGGGACGGACGAACCUCUGGUGUGCCAGUUGUCCUGCCAAGGGCACCGCUGGUUAGCUACGUUCGGAAGGGAUAACCGCUGAAGGCAUCUAAGCGGGAAGCUCGCUUCAAGAUGAGGUUUCCAUGCACCCUCGAGGUGUGUGAGGCUCCCAGCUAGACUACUGUUGAUAGGCCGGAUGUGGAAGCGAGGACUGAAGACUCGUGAAGCUGACCGGUACUAAUACGCCGAUGACUUACUACA
RNAcentral lists this ribosomal RNA (1391 nucleotides) under Kineosporia mikuniensis JCM 9961. RNAcentral describes it as "bacterial LSU rRNA". It matches the Rfam family "Bacterial large subunit ribosomal RNA", at positions 1555 to 2925 of the family's 2925-position model. The record is from RNAcentral. Lineage: Bacteria; Bacillati; Actinomycetota; Actinomycetes; Kineosporiales; Kineosporiaceae.